AGAGUUUGAUCCUGGCUCAGGAUGAACGCUGGCGGCGUGCUUAACACAUGCAAGUCGAACGAUGAUCCCAGCUUGCUGGGGGAUUAGUGGCGAACGGGUGAGUAACACGUGAGUAACCUGCCCUUAACUCUGGGAUAAGCCUGGGAAACUGGGUCUAAUACCGGAUAUGACUCCUCAUCGCAUGGUGGGGGGUGGAAAGCUUUAUUGUGGUUUUGGAUGGACUCGCGGCCUAUCAGCUUGUUGGUGAGGUAAUGGCUCACCAAGGCGACGACGGGUAGCCGGCCUGAGAGGGUGACCGGCCACACUGGGACUGAGACACGGCCCAGACUCCUACGGGAGGCAGCAGUGGGGAAUAUUGCACAAUGGGCGAAAGCCUGAUGCAGCGACGCCGCGUGAGGGAUGACGGCCUUCGGGUUGUAAACCUCUUUCAGUAGGGAAGAAGCGAAAGUGACGGUACCUGCAGAAGAAGCGCCGGCUAACUACGUGCCAGCAGCCGCGGUAAUACGUAGGGCGCAAGCGUCAUCCGGAAUUAUUGGGCGUAAAGAGCUCGUAGGCGGUUUGUCGCGUCUGCCGUGAAAGUCCGGGGCUCAACUCCGGAUCUGCGGUGGGUACGGGCAGACUAGAGUGAUGUAGGGGAGACUGGAAUUCCUGGUGUAGCGGUGAAAUGCGCAGAUAUCAGGAGGAACACCGAUGGCGAAGGCAGGUCUCUGGGCAUUAACUGACGCUGAGGAGCGAAAGCAUGGGGAGCGAACAGGAUUAGAUACCCCGGUAGUCC
RNAcentral lists this ribosomal RNA (775 nucleotides) under uncultured Arthrobacter sp. Its description in RNAcentral is "bacterial SSU rRNA". It matches the Rfam family "Bacterial small subunit ribosomal RNA", at positions 8 to 796 of the family's 1533-position model. The record is from RNAcentral. Lineage: Bacteria; Bacillati; Actinomycetota; Actinomycetes; Micrococcales; Micrococcaceae.